CUCCGCUACUCAGAGUUUGAAAGAUAGUUAACAUGCAUUGCUAAGAUCAUCAGGAGUUUCAUUGCAUUUCUGUGUGUGCCAAUGUUUAUUGAAAGGGGUGUAUGGCUAACUGGUUUGGAACAGAAAUUCUGAAGGUAAGCAAAUAAUUUAGCGAAAAACAGAUAUGAGAAUAAGCUGCAACUCCCUAUUCCUAUGUUAGAGAGCAUGUGUAUUCUUGUUUUCGCAUUGUGGCACUAGUAACUAGUAGGCAUUAGGAACGAGAAGAAAAGGAAAAAAAAAAGUGGAAAAAUGCUGUAAAGGAAAAUGCAGCUGAUUUGACUUAUUUUUCACAGGUUGGAUAUUGAGUCUAGGAUCCUGAAAACCCAAAGGAGGAGAUAAAAAGUAAGAGGACGGCGUUCAGCCACUUCUGGGAAAACAGAGUUCCAUCAAAUUUAAUGAUUUUUUGGGAAAACAACCACAAUCACUAAAAAAAAAAGAAAGGAAGAAAAGAAAAAAAAGUCAUUGUCUUCAGAAAUCGUGGCAGAAAUUUCUCCCCAGCAAAGAAAAGCAGCUAUCAAUGGAGAAGUUGUAGUUUAGUAGCAGGCUGUAGUGCAAAUUUAAAAUUCUCAUUUUCCAGGGGUCACAGGAUAGCUGAGGCUGGAAGUGACCUCUUGAAGUCACCUGGUCAAACCUUGGUUUAUUUUGAAUGAAACAGCAUCAUACCAGACACUCUGAAGAAAACAAUUCUAUCCCAGCUGAAACUAAGACACCAGGAUGAUGUCCAGACAAUUUAUGAAGAUCUCUAAGGAGGAGACUCCACAGCCUCUCUGUGCCAAUACUCAGUCACCUGCACAGCACAGAAAUGUUCAGGCAGAGCAUCCUCUGUUCCUGUUUGUUCCCCUUGCUUUUUGUCCUGGCAAUGGGCAUUACUGAAUAGAAC
This 919-nucleotide long non-coding RNA is filed under the name Gallus gallus (chicken). RNAcentral's name for it is "lncRNA (ENSGALG00010002499.1)". Lineage: Eukaryota; Metazoa; Chordata; Aves; Galliformes; Phasianidae. The record is from RNAcentral.